UUCGGGACGGUUUGAAGGCAGAAAAAAAAAAUCUUUUAAGUCCUCCUUUCUUUUCUUUCUCGAUCUACUCUUGAUCGCCCACCAAACUAUUGGGUACGAAAAUACAAAAAAAAGAUCCUGCCGAGUUCAAGAAAAUUUAUAGUAUUGUGCACGUCUACAAAUUCAACAGUUUGUUGUAUCUUGGGAAGGGAUCGCCAAAAUCCGGUGCACAUAGGAGGCGAAUCUCUUUCAAAGACAAUGACUACACGCCUCGGACCGAUCUACAGGUAUUAUCUAUUUUAUUCUGGAUCUAAAGAAAACGACAUCAAAGAGGUACGCAUCGGAACCGGUUGUUUUAGUAAUAUUAAAUUAUUUGUGGAUUAUUUGAGUUCUUUGAGUUGCAUGUUUCAAAACUUAACACAGUUCCCUGUUCGAAACAAGUUUCAGCUCCGGAGCCUCUUAUCCACAUCGGCUGGAAAAAGGCUUUAGAUGGGAGGCUAACCUCAAUCGCAGGAUCGCGAAGAUGUGCAAUGAGAUCCAAGCCCAGCAAAGAUGAAAGGUCGAAGCAGAAGAUGAUCUGAAGAUGAUGAACAAGCCUCCUUUCACGAAAGAGAUUAUGAGGAGCUUUUGCCAGGAAGGUUCGAGAUGCUUCAGUUACGAUGGUACCAUGGAACUAAUGGACCAUCUUUCAAAGACUUAAUUUGAAAAGAAUUAGAGAAGGCGAUUAUCAAAGUCCUACAAUGCAAUAACAGAUUCUGUUCAUAAUUACUGUUUAUUCGUGUGAUUUCUAGAAAGAAAAUCAAUAUAUGCAUAUGGACAAAUUGUGGCAUGUA
Phoenix dactylifera (date palm) is the source of this 812-nucleotide non-coding RNA. NCBI's taxonomy places the organism in Eukaryota, Viridiplantae, Streptophyta, Magnoliopsida, Arecales, Arecaceae. The record is from RefSeq and is a predicted model, not a curated record.